GAUGAACGCUGGCGGCGUGCCUAAUACAUGCAAGUCGAGCGAACAGACGAGGAGCUUGCUCCUCUGACGUUAGCGGCGGACGGGUGAGUAACACGUGGAUAACCUACCUAUAAGACUGGGAUAACUUCGGGAAACCGGAGCUAAUACCGGAUAAUAUAUUGAACCUCAUGGUUCAAUAGUGAAAGACGGUUUUGCUGUCACUUAUAGAUGGAUCCGCGCCGCAUUAGCUAGUUGGUAAGGUAACGGCUUACCAAGGCGACGAUGCGUAGCCGACCUGAGAGGGUGAUCGGCCACACUGGAACUGAGACACGGUCCAGACUCCUACGGGAGGCAGCAGUAGGGAAUCUUCCGCAAUGGGCGAAAGCCUGACGGAGCAACGCCGCGUGAGUGAUGAAGGUCUUCGGAUCGUAAAACUCUGUUAUUAGGGAAGAACAAAUGUGUAAGUAACUAUGCACGUCUUGACGGUACCUAAUCAGAAAGCCACGGCUAACUACGUG
RNAcentral lists this ribosomal RNA (497 nucleotides) under uncultured bacterium. RNAcentral's name for it is "partial 16S ribosomal RNA". It matches the Rfam family "Bacterial small subunit ribosomal RNA", at positions 28 to 507 of the family's 1533-position model. The record is from RNAcentral.